Phacochoerus africanus (Common warthog) is the source of this 107-nucleotide small nuclear RNA. NCBI's taxonomy places the organism in Eukaryota, Metazoa, Chordata, Mammalia, Artiodactyla, Suidae. The record is from RefSeq and is a predicted model, not a curated record.
GUGCUUACUUCAACAACACAUAUACUAAAAUUGGAAUGAUACAGAGAAGAUCAGCAUGGUCCCUUCACAAGGAUGACAUACAAAUUCAUGAAGUGUUCCACUAAAAA